Molecule: unclassified non-coding RNA, 346 nt
Filed under: soil metagenome
Description: partial contains 5.8S ribosomal RNA, internal transcribed spacer 2, and large subunit ribosomal RNA
Rfam family: 5.8S ribosomal RNA (bases 1-120)
Source: RNAcentral
GAUGAAGAACGCAGCGAAAUGCGAUAAGUAAUGUGAAUUGCAGAAUUCAGUGAAUCAUCGAAUCUUUGAACGCACAUUGCGCCCGCCAGCACUCUGGCGGGCAUGCCUGUUCGAGCGUCAUUGCUGCCCUCAAGCACGGCUUGUGUGUUGGGCCCCGUCCUCCGAUCCCGGGGGACGGGCCCGAAAGGCAGCGGCGGCACCGCGUCCGGUCCUCGAGCGUAUGGGGCUUUGUCACCCGCUCUGUAGGCCCGGCCGGCGCUUGCCGAUCAACCCAAAUUUUUAUCCAGGUUGACCUCGGAUCAGGUAGGGAUACCCGCUGAACUUAAGCAUAUCAAUAAGCGGAGGA